Molecule: ribosomal RNA, 200 nt
Filed under: uncultured bacterium
Lineage: Bacteria
Description: partial 16S ribosomal RNA
Rfam family: Bacterial small subunit ribosomal RNA
Source: RNAcentral
GAUGAACGCUGGCGGCGUGCUUAACACAUGCAAGUCGAACGAUGAAGCCCAGCUUGCUGGGUGGAUUAGUGGCGAACGGGUGAGUAACACGUGAGCAACCUGCCCCUGACUCUGGGAUAAGCGCUGGAAACGGCGUCUAAUACUGGAUACGAACAAGAAUCGCAUGGUUACUUGUUGGAAAGAUUUAUUGGUUGGGGAUG